Molecule: long non-coding RNA, 1097 nt
Filed under: Papio anubis (olive baboon)
Lineage: Eukaryota; Metazoa; Chordata; Mammalia; Primates; Cercopithecidae
Description: lncRNA (ENSPANG00000037212.1)
Source: RNAcentral
AUUUACAUGUUGAAGCCCUACCUCCUGAUAUAACUACUGGGAAAUAAAAGUAAAAUUCUAAGCCCCUCAACUGAGUGAACAGACCUUCUCUUGGCCAUAGCAACCCCAGAAUAACCUUGAAAACGGUUCUCAGCCAUGAUGUUUCGGUACAACAACAGACCAGCAUUUCUUCCUGAUGAGAGACAAUUGACCAUGGAGUUGUUCUGGCCAAUCUACGGAGAAUGUGCAGUGAAGGUUUUCAUGUCAUCUGCUUCAUCUUUUGAUGCCAGAGGGCCUGAAACUCCACCCUGGGAUUAUGCUAACACUGCCAUUUUUUGUACACAGGACCCAUGAAGAGGCACGAAGCUCAACUGUACAUGUGCAUGUUUUUCCUUUUGUAAAUAUUAAUGACUCCUCCUAUAAUCUGUUGAAUAUGUACACUUAACCACCCAACUUACCAUAUGUUUCUGUUCCCUUUCCCCCUCCCUUGAAGUAUCUGUUUUUGGCUUCUGACCAGAGGCUACACUUCCCAGCCUCUGGGAAUGGCCACCCUGCAGGCUGAAACUCUUCAUGAGAAAUAAAGCUCUUCUUUCUAAAUUUAUGAAAGUUGUCAUUCUUAAAUUGAUAUGAUAUUUGGAGGUAGAGCCUUUAAGAAGGGAAUUAAGGUGAAACGAGGUCAUGAGAGUGGGGCCCCAAUCUGAUAGGACUGGUGUAUUAGUCUGUUUUCAUGCUGCUGAUAAAGACAUACCCAAGACUGUUUAUAGAAAAAGAAAACGGACUCACAGUUUCAUGUGAGUGGGGAGGCCUCACAAUCAUGGCAGAAGGCAAACAGCACAUCUUACAUGGUGGCAGAGAAGAGAGAAUAACAGAACUUGUGCAGGGAAACUCCCCUUUAUAAAACCAUCAGAUCUCACAAGACUUAUUCACUAUCACAAGAACAGCAUAGGAAAGGCCCACCCCCAUGAUUCAACUACUCCCCAACAGGCCCAUCCCAUGACAUGUGGAAAUUGUGGGAGUUACGAUACAGGAUGAGAUUUGGGUGGGGACACAACCUAACCAUAACAACUGGUGUCCUUAUAAGAAGAAGAGGUAGUAGAACUCACUCUCUUUCUCUCUGC